AAUGGGAUUCCUUAAGUAAUUGCGAAUGAACAAGGAAAUGCUCAGCUUGAAAAAUGGGGCCUUUGGCUUUGAAUUGUAAUUUUGAAAUGUAUUGCCAAUGGAGGCGCAGGUGCAAGCCUAUUGAAAGAAAGCGUCAAUGAGGGUGAGAUUCCUUUUUGUCAUUUGCAGUCCUCCGUGCACGGUAUAUAUUUGACGAGUCACACUCCUCGGCAUUGGAAUGCAAAGUGGGUGGUAAAUUCCAUGUAAAGGUAAAUAUAUUAUUGAGACUGAUAGCAAACAAGUACCAUGAGGGAAAUAUGAAAAGGACUUUGAAAAGAGAAUUAAAAGAGUCUGCAUUUGCUGAACAGAAAGCAAACAGAAUUGAUUUUACUUGGUGAGAUUGUUGUGCUUACUCUAUCAUUUAUAUGGUUGAUGUGGGUGCGAUGGUUCUUACCUUGAAUGUCAGCUUCUAUUUCUGCAAAUCAUUACCCUUGCACAUGAAUGGUAACUUGCCUGCGGGUAUUGGAAUGCAUGUGUUUGCAAUGAUUUGUGAUUUGACGCAUGUGUUUGGUGAAAUUUGUAUAUGCUCUUUUGUCGAAGGGGAAAGCUUACUUUUUUGAGCAUUGCAAGCCCUUACACAUCAGUGCUGGCAAAAUGUUUCUGCUUGACCCGUCUUGAAACACGGACCAAGGAGUCUAACAGAUGUGCAAGUUCGUGGGUGGCAAACCUUUUUGCGCAAUGAAAGUAUUGGCUGGGAUACUUGCACCAGCAGCCGACCAAUUAGCAGACAGAGGUUUGAGUUUGAGCAUAUCUAUUAGGACCCGAAAGAUGGUGAACUAUGCCUGAACAGAAUGAAUUCAGAGGAAACUCUGAUGGAGGUUCGUAUCGAUACUGACGUGCAAAUCGUUCGUCAUACUUGGGUAUAGGGGCGAAAGACUAAUCGAACCAUCUAGUAGCUGGUUCCCUCCGAAGUUUCCCUCAGGAUAGCUGGAGUUGCACAGUUUUAUCAGGUAAAGCGAAUGAUUAGAGGAAUUGGGGACACGCUGUCCUUGACCUAUUCUCAAACUUUAAAUGGGUAAGAUGCAAUGGUUGCUUUAUUGAACUUUUGGAAUAAAUGGCAAUAUCAGGUGGGCCAUUUUUGGUAAGCAGAACUGGCGAUGAGGGAUGAACCUAACGUUGGGUUAAGGUGCUUAAUUGCUUGCUCAUUAGAUACCAGAAAGGGUGUUGGUUCAUUUUAACAGCAGGACGGUGGUCAUGGAAGUCGAAAUCCGCUAAGGAGUGUGUAACAACUCACCUGCCGAAUGGACUAGCCCCGAAAAUGGAUGGCGCUCAAGCGGGUGACCGAUACCCAACCACUGUUGCAAAUAGUGUCAGUGUGUAGGAGGGCAUGG
This 1370-nucleotide ribosomal RNA is filed under the name Alexandrium minutum. RNAcentral describes it as "LSU rRNA". It matches the Rfam family "Eukaryotic large subunit ribosomal RNA", at positions 68 to 1394 of the family's 3401-position model. Lineage: Eukaryota; Dinophyceae; Gonyaulacales; Pyrocystaceae. The record is from RNAcentral.